UACAGAGGGGGCGAGCGUUGUUCGGAAUUACUGGGCGUAAAGGGCGCGUAGGCGGCCCGCUAAGUCGAACGUGAAAUCCCCAGGCUCAACCUGGGAACUGCGUCCGAUACUGGCAGGCUUGAAUCCGGGAGAGGGAUGUGGAAUUCCAGGUGUAGCGGUGAAAUGCGUAGAUAUCUGGAGGAACAUCGGUGGCGAAGGCGGCAUCCUGGACCGGUAUUGACGCUGAGGCGCGAAAGCCAGGGGAGCAAACGGG
RNAcentral lists this ribosomal RNA (253 nucleotides) under uncultured bacterium. RNAcentral describes it as "partial 16S ribosomal RNA". It matches the Rfam family "Bacterial small subunit ribosomal RNA", at positions 524 to 776 of the family's 1533-position model. The record is from RNAcentral.